Molecule: non-coding RNA, 30 nt
Filed under: Mus musculus (house mouse)
Lineage: Eukaryota; Metazoa; Chordata; Mammalia; Rodentia; Muridae
Source: RNAcentral
UGGAAAGCUUAAAUUUAAGUGCAAUAGUAA